UGCAUAGAUUUAGCAUGGCCAGGUCUGAAUCUUAGACCUGCAUGCCUUUGGUGUGAUAGAAAUUGAUCAGAAUCUCAGUGCUUUUCAGUCUUCAAAGGCCACAAAUUCAGAACAUCUGCAGGCCAGGACAAAUCCUACCUGCAACUGCGAGUGCCUGGGUACACGGGAAACUGGAGGCCACACAGCUCGGAAACUUCCAGUGUCAUUCAUAAUUGCAAGCUGUACCCCCGACAAGCAGACAAAACUUGAAGGCGAAGGUAAAAGGAGCCCCAAAGGUAAGAAAGCGAGUACGUGGACCAUGACUCACUACUGGCUGAAAUUUCGCAAGACUUGGACAAGUACUCGACUGUUUAAGAACCACAAACUAUUAAUUGCCAAUAGUCGUCGUCGCUGCAUGGACAGUGACCAUUGGACUCGAAAAAGCUACAACUACAAGCUACAUUUCUGCAGUCCUGGGUGAGCUGCCUAUGAUCCAUAAGUUUCAGAGACAUCUCAUUUCGUUCCGCACACUACCGCUAGCUCAUUCCCUUGUGCUAGCUGCCGCCUUAUCCUCCUGACGACGAGUGAGUCCUCAAAUGGAGAUUUUACUCUCUGCAGUCCUGGGUGAGCUGGCUACCAAGUCCAUCAGUUUCUUCAUCACUGCUGGCAAGUGAGGCAUGAUGAAAAGGCAUGGUUGGCUCUCGCUUCCCAACCUCGCCAAGAUGCAAAUCUGGCCGCGCCGAAAGUGUAUGAGCUAGAUGAAAUGAAAUAUAAUGCGUGUGAAACUAGCUUUUUGGUAACAAAUACAACUGCAGAGCACUACGAACGUACAUGCUUCCAUGCUUGGUCCUUCAACCCUUAUAUAUAGCUGGACUGGAACGCUGCCAUGCUCUGCGCCUCGGCCAGUGCCUGCCUGUGACCACCUUGACUGACCAAGAGGUAGACUGGGAGGGACUCGCCUACAUGGAGAACCUGAGAUUCUACCUGUGGUCGGUGGUGGAAUGUCCUGAUGGAGAGAAUGUAGAAUGGGCAGAGAGCAAAGUCAUUGAGCUUAGGGCAUUACUUGCUGAUAUGAUGAUGCCCUCUCAGACUCACUUGACGAUGUACCUGGCUUUGCGGACAGAUGGGGCGCUUUUCACUAUUGAUCUGCAUGGAGUCCUACCGUGUCACAAGACUUUACGGAGAAGGUCGUUGCUACUACGGCAAUUUCCCCUACGUGAGAGCUUCUGCACUCCAGGUAGGAUAAGAUACUCAUUCAUCCCGUCUGUUUUAUUUAGUACGUACUGUUCUGCUUAUUACUGAUUUUGCUACAUUAAGAUUGAGUACUAACUACUUCAGUAUGUGUUUCUUUGAUGUGCACCACCCUUGUUCGGACCCUGCCUUCGCCCCUGUUCUCAGCUGCAGGUUUCUCGGUCAAGGUUGAGCUGGAUCAUGGUAGUGGUUAAUAAUGUAAUAAGCAUUAUGUUUGUGCGAGGGAUGAUCUCCUAUGUUUGUUAUCUUGAUAAUCUCUGUAAAUUAUAAAGUUUGCUUGGGCUUCUCUGUCAAGCUGAUUGCCUGUAUCUAUCAACUCUAUGUGUAUUACUGAACAUUAGCUUGCAAUGAAA
RNA transcript from Panicum hallii, 1583 nucleotides. RefSeq lists it as uncharacterized. The record is from RefSeq and is a predicted model, not a curated record. NCBI's taxonomy places the organism in Eukaryota, Viridiplantae, Streptophyta, Magnoliopsida, Poales, Poaceae. The transcript is spliced from 2 exons.